RNAcentral lists this unclassified non-coding RNA (236 nucleotides) under Glomeraceae sp. RNAcentral describes it as "partial contains 5.8S ribosomal RNA and internal transcribed spacer 2". The stretch from base 1 to 71 matches the Rfam family "5.8S ribosomal RNA", at positions 84 to 154 of the family's 154-position model. Lineage: Eukaryota; Fungi; Glomeromycota; Glomeromycetes; Glomerales; Glomeraceae. The record is from RNAcentral.
GUGAAUCAUCGAAUUUUUGAACGCAAAUUGCGCUUCCUGGUAUCCCGGGAAGUAUGCCUGUUUGAGGGUCAGUAUUAACUAAAAAUCGGUUUGGUUGCAUAUUGUGACGUUUCCGGAGUUUGGGCUUAUCUUAACUUUUUUGGUUAAGGGGCUUAAAAUUGACCUUUUUUGCGCAUUUUUAGACGUACAUAAUUUUUUUUUUAUUCGUUUUUGAUGAAGGCCAAAUUCUUAUUAAU